RNAcentral lists this ribosomal RNA (586 nucleotides) under Aspergillus alliaceus. RNAcentral's name for it is "eukaryotic LSU rRNA". It matches the Rfam family "Eukaryotic large subunit ribosomal RNA", at positions 52 to 653 of the family's 3401-position model. Lineage: Eukaryota; Fungi; Ascomycota; Eurotiomycetes; Eurotiales; Aspergillaceae. The record is from RNAcentral.
GGAGGAAAAGAAACCAACAGGGAUUGCCUCAGUAACGGCGAGUGAAGCGGCAAGAGCUCAAAUUUGAAAGCUGGCUCCUUCGGGGUCCGCAUUGUAAUUUGCAGAGGAUGCUUCGGGUGCGGCCCCUAUCUAAGUGCCCUGGAACGGGCCGUCGGAGAGGGUGAGAAUCCCGUCUGGGAUAGGGUGUCCGCGUCCGUGUGAAGCUCCUUCGACGAGUCGAGUUGUUUGGGAAUGCAGCUCUAAAUGGGUGGUAAAUUUCAUCUAAAGCUAAAUACUGGCCGGAGACCGAUAGCGCACAAGUAGAGUGAUCGAAAGAUGAAAAGCACUUUGAAAAGAGAGUUAAAAAGCACGUGAAAUUGUUGAAAGGGAAGCGCUUGCGACCAGACUCGCCUUCAGGGUUCAGCCGGCACUCGUGCCGGUGUACUUCCCUGGAGGCGGGCCAGCGUCGGUUUGGGCGGCCGGUCAAAGGCUCCCGGAAUGUAGUGCCCUCCGGGGCACCUUAUAGCCGGGAGUGCAAUGCGGCCAGCCUGGACCGAGGAACGCGCUUCGGCACGGACGCUGGCAUAAUGGUCGCAAACGACCCGUC